AGAGCGAACGCUGGCGGCAGGCUUAACACAUGCAAGUCGAGCGGGCGUAGCAAUACGUCAGCGGCAGACGGGUGAGUAACGCGUGGGAACGUACCUUUUGGUUCGGAACAACACAGGGAAACUUGGUGCGUAAUACCGGAUAAGCCCUUACGGGGAAAGAUUUAUCGCCGAAAGAUCGGCCCGCGUCUGAUUAGCUAGUUGGUGGGGUAACGGCUCACCAAGGCGACGAUCAGUAGCU
RNAcentral lists this ribosomal RNA (238 nucleotides) under uncultured bacterium. RNAcentral's name for it is "partial small subunit ribosomal RNA". It matches the Rfam family "Bacterial small subunit ribosomal RNA", at positions 26 to 288 of the family's 1533-position model. The record is from RNAcentral.